Populus euphratica (Euphrates poplar) is the source of this 720-nucleotide long non-coding RNA. RefSeq lists it as uncharacterized. The transcript is spliced from 2 exons. Lineage: Eukaryota; Viridiplantae; Streptophyta; Magnoliopsida; Malpighiales; Salicaceae. The record is from RefSeq and is a predicted model, not a curated record.
CUUUGUCAUGCAAGAGAUCAAACAGAAGUAAUGAUAAUAAAAUGGGAGUGAAUAUACAAUGGCAUUGGAGUGAAUUUGAUAACACCAAGGGUGGCUUUUUCUCAGGAUUCCAAAACAUCCAUACCCAUGCUAACCAAACUCAAUCCUUUGCUAUAAUAGCCAGUGAAAGUGAAGGGGAAAAAAAAUACAGAGCAUUUGGCUUCCUUAGUUGGCUUUGGAGAAGGUGUGAGAGAGAGCUGGGCACAGGGUUGUUCGCGCGAAGAAUAAAAGAAUUGUUGGCUGCUAAACGGAAAACAUCAAAGCAGAGAGAGAGAGAGAGAGAGAGAGAUGAACCACUAUAAACGGCUGCAAUAGGAGUGAUGAGGAGGAGAAGGGUUUGCUAUGGAAGCUUUGGCGCUGGUUGGGGAUUGGUUUUGGUGUCGACCUAGAGGCAAUCAACUUUAUUUGGUUUUUGUACCAGUUACUUGCAAAAAGAUAAUAAGCUUCCAAUAUUGAGCUUAAAGAAGACUGUAGCAGAUGAAGCAGGGGCAAUCUUACAGGACAAACUGAGGCAGCUGUCUCCUGCAACCUAGGAUUUUCAGAAUCUCAGCACGCUUUCUGUUAGGUUUCAGAAUUUUUAGCUUUGUGUAAAUACACUGCUGUGUAAAACUACAUCAGAUGUGACGUUACUGUUCACCAAAAUUUCUUGUUUUUCAGUGAGGAGUGGAUAAGUUUUCUAAA